UACGGGGGGGGCAAGCGUUGUUCGGAAUUACUGGGCGUAAAGGGCUCGUAGGCGGCCAACUAAGUCAGACGUGAAAUCCCCAGGCUCAACCUGGGAACUGCGUCUGAUACUGGAUGGCUUGAAUCCGGGAGAGGGAUGCAGAAUUCCAGGUGUAGCGGUGAAAUGCGUAGAUAUCAGGAGGAACACCCGUGGCGAAGGCGGGUCUCUGGACAGUUCCUGACGCUGAGGCACGAAGGUCAGGGGAGCAAACGGG
This 253-nucleotide ribosomal RNA is filed under the name uncultured bacterium. RNAcentral describes it as "partial 16S ribosomal RNA". It matches the Rfam family "Bacterial small subunit ribosomal RNA", at positions 524 to 776 of the family's 1533-position model. The record is from RNAcentral.